Long non-coding RNA from Dreissena polymorpha, 5813 nucleotides. RefSeq lists it as uncharacterized. The transcript is spliced from 5 exons. The record is from RefSeq and is a predicted model, not a curated record. NCBI's taxonomy places the organism in Eukaryota, Metazoa, Mollusca, Bivalvia, Myida, Dreissenidae.
UCAAUAUGAUUGGUUGUUGAACCUUUAUAAUUGUCAUCUUCACUUUCAAAAUAUUAAAUAAGCACAGUUUGGGAUGUUGUUGAGAUGUUUUACUGAAAGAAAUUCGUAAGGUAUGUGUCGAUAUUACUAUUAUAUACCUUAUAUUUGUUCUCAUCAUUUGUUUAAUUGUUACCGGAAUAAUAUUUUUUUAAAGAAACGAUUGCUUGUGUGCAGUUUAGGCAUUUGCUAUUCAAAUAAUACAUUGGAUGAUAAUAUUUUCUGCAAAUUUUUUAUUUUGCUAGUAUGGAUAUUUCACCUCCGACUUUGUUCCAAAAUGUUUUGGCAGCAAGUCCAAUAAUUUACUCUGUACUGUUCCAUAUUUGUUACUCUCGAGUCCGUUUCUCGAGAGGACUCGAGAGCGUUUCAAUAAGCCUGAGGCUUUCGAUGCAAUCGAGCUAAAAGAAAUAAGUUUAAACUAAACAUAUUUGUUACUAACGUUCGAGUAAUAACUGUCUCUUAAUGUUCUAUUAUGGAAUCAAAUUAUUAGGCACUUUAUAGUCUACCAAAUAAAAUGGAAGUGUUUUUUCAGAUCAGUUAUUUCAAUUGAAAUUACAAAUGUAAACUCGCAUAUUUACAACGAACCAUUUUUCCCUAAAACACCGUUAAUUAAAUCUGGUUAAAUACGGAUUAUUAAAUGAUUAUUAGUCGACUCUGCAGACUUUGCAGGCAAGAGGUUACCUUUAAAUUAAGUUCUUUUUGCACUUACUGGUACAUCAAAUUUGUAAGUGGACACUUUCGCAAAGUCAAAUGUGUAUCUAUCUCUCGGUAAAUGUGCUUGGCCCCUCUGGGGCUUUGUCGCACAAUUGUGAACUAUGUACUAUUAGUUACAGUUAGUAAAUGACGGUGUAUGGGAUAUACGGUAUUUAAUUACUGAGGGUGUAUAUCCCAUACACCUUCAGUUACUAACGGUGUAACGAUUAUAUCUCAACCGACUACUCGGGUUACUCGGGUAGUAUGGAAAUUACUCGGUGUAUCGAAAAUACUCCAUGGGCACGUGACCGCUCUAAGCCAAUCGGAAUAGGUCAUUCUUGUAGGAGGUGAGAUAUACGCUUAUCCUCUCUACUCCAUAAGAACUGCCUGAAAUAUUAAGUAACAUGUUAUUUAAGUUGGAAUAAUUUCUGAUGUCUUUUUUUUCCCGCCAUCAGUUCGUGAUGGAUGCUAACACCAGGAUUUUCGAAUGUUUUGAUACGGUAACCGGACUUGCACUGAGGUAAGUAUACGGUGAACUGCGCAAGGUACUUAGAGAUGGUGUGUUCAUACAGUAAUUUUGAAAAGAACAUGUGGAACAAGAUAGCGUCUGUUGAUGUGACGAUGUAAUCUUUUAAAGAUUACCGGUACUUAACAUUGAUGAUCACAGUUUCUACAUUUGUCGAAUAUUGUUGUAUCGUGGUUAUAAUCGACUUUCAUACGACAUCUUAUGUGGCAUUGUCAUGCAAGGAAUAUAUAUACAUAUACAUAAAAAUAGAACCAAUUCGUGCGCAUGGCUAAUAAAAUGGUUAAACAGAAGUAAAGGUUUUACCUAUUCUAUUUUAUAUUUCGCACUUUUAAAAUUCCUUUCUUUAAGUGUCUGCAAAAAUUCCGGUUUGCACGACUAUAAAAUUAAAUCUUAUUAAAUGACACGCGACUAUUUUCCAUAAGAACUCUCUUAGAUAAGUGAAACAAUUGGUUGGCGGAAACUAACUUUAAAAGAUUCCGGAAAUAUUGAAAUAUACAUCUGCAUUUAAGUAUCGCAUUAAACGGCAAGAAUCGACCGGGCACAUUUAAUUGAUGUGAAAAAAAAUCAUGACAAAUAUUUCUACUUCCAUCUUUGCUAUGAUUCUAGUUAAACCAGGGCACUUGUCAGUUACGAAUGUGUGAACUUGGUUGUAGUAGACCGAAUAAGCAGGAUUGGGGAAGAUACGAAAAGCCUUACCGACUGCCGUCAUUUUGACUACCCUUUUCAAGGACGCAAAUCCAACUAAUAACGCAAAUACCAAUUAAUCUAUGAAAAAAAUAAAUACUUAUUGUAAUAAAUUUACUAUUUUAAUAUUUAACAUAGCAGUGUUCCCGGAUGACGCUACCCUUCCCGAAGCUUCUUUAACGGUGUCCGGAUAACGUCCACUUCCCCUAAGCGACAGCGCUGUUCAAAGAUGACUCGCCCUUUCUUGUGUCAGCAACGAUCCCUCUGCCCGCCCGACCUACGCGCGGAGUAAGACGCCCUUUCGAAGUUACAACGACAAGUCAUUUGAUUACCCCCACCUUGAAAACGAAAGCAACCAUAACUGCGACGAAAGAGUACAUUUUUAUUAUAAAAUGGCAAAACGGAGGUACAAGUUAAAACAUUUUCAUUCUUUUUACUAUUCCGUACUGUAAUACGUAUUUACUGUUUCCAUUUCAUAUUGUGUAACGAAUGUCUCCGGAUCCUGAUCCCUGGCUAAAGAUUAUCCCCCCCGUGAUCCAAAGAGUGUCGGCGAAAACAUUACAGUUUCCAUCGAGAGGGCAGCGUUCCCGGAUGAUGUUACCCUUUCCCGAAGUGACUUGAACGAUGCUGGAUAACGUCCACUUCCCCGAAGCGGCAGUGACGUCCUUACAUGACGACUAGCCCCUUCACGUCGUGCGCAGUGACGACCAACCUUCCUGUCCGACGCCCCUUGAAGUUGCACCCAGUUGUCCUCUGGAUUAUUCCAUCCCCUUUCUCCAAAUGGCACCUACCAUAAGUUUUCGGCGUUCUCCAUUUCCAAGGCGACACUGUUGGUUACUAUGGAGCACCAUUUAUGCAUGGUCUGGUAUGUAGUUACUUACAUAACAUAAUUACUGACAAAUGAAAGUGUACCAUGGGAAACAUGCGUGGUUAAACCGAGGUAUUACUUAAAUCUAUUUAUUCUUUCUUUUAUACUUUGUACUUUAGAAAGUAUUUUUUGUUUUCCAAUUUCAUAUCGUUUGCCGUAUCCUGAGCCCAGAAUAGAUGGUGGCCACCCCGUGUAGUCCAUAACAGUGUCGGAGAAAAUGACAGCUUCCAUCAAGAUGUUGCAACAACGGUGCCCGGAUAACGUCUACUUCCCCGAAGCAUCAGCGGCGCCCAUAGAUGAAUCGCGCUUUUUCCAUAGCGGCAGCGACGUUCUCCAUCCCCGCCCGACCGUCGCGCGAGUGAAGACGCCCCUUCCGAAGCUGCAUAUAUACGCCAAUGGAUUAUUCCACACACAUCCCCUUCCAAAAACGACAAGAGUAUUUUUUUUCAAAUUCACGUAAAAGAUUUUUCUGCGCUGAAAAUCCCUAGCAAGUAACCGAUAGUAAUACAUCUUAUCGCUUUUGGGUUUUAUAUACAGUUUGCAUUGACUCAUCGGACGAUGCGACUUGGUGGUUCAGAUCUUUAAUUAUAAAUCGCGUUAUUUAUUUACAAGGUUGUAGUUCUUGACCAAUAUUUACUUGUAUGUAUUGCGUGUAUCUUGGAAAAUGUCUAAUUAUUAAUGUAUAACAGCAAGGUGCCCGGAUGACGCCUCCAUUUCCCGAAGCUGCAUCAACGGUGCCUGGAUAGCGUCCACUUCCCUAAGCGACAACGAAGUCCUUAAAAUCACACCCUUUUUUACGUCGCCCCCACCGCUCCCGACCCUCGGGAAGACAUGCCUAUCGAAGCUGCAAAUUACAGACGAACCAAAUCAUCACCAUACGGACGACCUGUGGUGACCUCCGAUGCAAUACCAAUCCACGUUUACUUCUUGGACCAUUCUACAGUGCACCAGGAGUGAAGUCCGAUCGAAUCCAUGUAUACUACAUGCAGUUUGUAAAUACAUUCAAAAUGAGCAUUUGGACUUCUUGAACGCAGCAAUCGUAGCUGCGACUAUUACAUGCGACCGCAUUGAACUACAGCACAACACACGCGGCUUUAAGGUUACAUCCUUUUGGAACACAUGUAUUUGAGCACCCUUGGUAAGUAGGUGCAUAUCCAACUUCAAUCCAAGGUAAGUCGAUAUUUCACUUUCAAACCUGUUUUCGUCGGGACGCUCUUCUUUACGGUGGGAUAAAGGUGACAUUCACUCUCUUUUUAAAUUGCACUCCUCUUUUUUUCUAUCUCGUGGCCACGAGUUAGCUUAGUCGGGAUCUCGAGAUGGCUAUGUCGUGGCCACGAGAUAGAAAAAAAGAGGAGUGCAAAACUAAAAAGGAGUGCAAUUGAAAAAACUGCCGCUGCUGCCGCUGCUGGGACGUUUUCAUUGGCCGAUUAAUUUGAAGGAGCAAGAUAGUAUUUGAUUGGCUGACUAAAUAGUGGCCACGAGUUAACUAAGUCGGGAUCUCGAUCUCGAAAUUCUCUCCUCGUUUGUUUAAUGCACCUUCCAUUAUUUACUCUACCGCUCUUUUUUUAACUGCACUUCUCUUUUAUUUAGUUUUGCACUCUUUCUAUCUCGUUGCCACGACAGCUAUCUCGAGAUCCCGACUUGGCUAACUCGUGGCCACGAGAUAGAAAAAAGAUGGAGUGCAAUUUACAAAAAGAGUGAAUGUCACCUCUAUGCCACCGUACUACUUACCUAGGAAUGUUGCUAAAGUAGUGAUAACAGAAUAAAUGUUUUGACAAAAUUAAUUUCGCUUUUAAUACGCUUUUAAUACUUGAUUGUUUCUUUUCUUUUGCCAACGUUUAUUAUUACAAAAAUUCCGAUUCCUCUAAGCAAUUUUUACAUUGAUUAAAAGUGUCAUAUUUACAAUUUGUUAUAAAUUAUUCUUUUCUUGCUGCAUUUUUUUUCUUUUUCAGGGUGUGUUUCCGGUAGUGUGACGCGUCUUUUUGUGUUGAUUGGAAUGUACCCGUUCCCAACACCGCUGACCAGCACUGUCGCUAGGCAACGACUGCCAGGCCACAUUGCUGUCAGUACAUAGCCUCUCCACUACAAGCCCUAUGCAUUGCCGCCACGUGGCAACACACGGUAACUGGAUGCCAAUGGGCUCCAGGCUGAAAUGCAGGGGACUCGGAGGAGGUUUGGCCCCUAGAUGUGGUGCACUGGUCCGCAAUUGUGUGGAAAUAACCGGUCAAUCACAAACCGAACCCCCAGCUAUGGGCAAAUAGCAUUUUAUUUAUAUAAUUGGCGUUAUCAAGUCAUUUAAUCAGUCAUUCCGUCGGUAACAAACUGUUUAUGGCUCAGUAUCUCGCGAGACUAUAACAGAUAUGAACAUGAAACUUCAUGAUGUAGAUAUUGAUGAGAUGUGCCAUGCACAAGAAACAUAACCAUAGACUUUUACAAAAUAAAAAGAGUAAUCAACCGUUGUUUUUGUAUGAUGUAACUUCAUGGCUAUAACUCGGGUAAGCUACAAGAUUCCAACAUUAAACUUUAUGGGACAAUUUCAAUGUAUCAAAUGUAUCAAUGUAGGGGCCACUUUAACGAACACAUCUUUUUUGGAUUAUACCGAUAUCAAGGGAUUUCAUACCACUAUAAACUUAAUUAAUUUGGCUGGGGAUAUCAAACUAAUUUGCUUGUUUUAUGGUGUUACAUUUAAAACAUACAAGUUUUAGUUUUUCUUAAUAUGUAUUUGCUUUUCUAAAACCUUUUUAUUUUAAGAUGUUCAGUCUAAUUUCAGAGCCUUUGCGUGAUUGCCGAACGCUUUCAGGCCCUUUAUCAAUGACAGGAUUUGUCAAGAUUACAAAAACCGUUCAACAGCCGCACUUAAAAUGGUUAUCCAUCCCAAAACUUGGUGACGUCCGCAACUUCAUGGCGUCUACACAGCCCUAACAUGCCCCGCCACCGAUGCUGUCUUGUUUCGCUUUGAUUUAUGAUUGGAAUACAAAAACUCGAAUAAAACAGAUUUGAACUAAA